AUUCUUGGCAAUGCGAGGUAGUGGUGCUCCGGCACUCUUCCACGUUGUUUCUUAGAAAAUCCAAGCACGUGUUGGGCAUCAAACGACGAUCAGGUUGGAUUUAAACAUAGAGACCACUGCUUGUGUUGACGAGAAUUUUUCCUUUUGCCAAUUGUUGGGAAAUUUGCGCUGUGUUUUCAUACGAUGGUAAUAAAACGAGUUGGAGUCUUGUGCUUUAUUCGUAGAGGACCACUCGGCAAAAUUUAAGCAGCGAUGCUUCGGUUCAAUGCUUGYGUUUUGUCGGAAAAUUCAAAGACRCGUCGGGCAAGGGAUGAUGAUGACUCAAAUGACUUGACAAAACGGUGUUGGAUUAAAACUAAGUUGCGUCCCAUUAAGUUCUCGUGCACAGCGGUGCGGGYGAUGGCCUUUCUCGGUGUAUUCGCGUGUCAUUUGGCCGCGCCUCGCUUAGAAUUGUUGUUGCCUAGCGUACGUGGUGGCACAUGAGUGGUGAAUGGAUCGUUCGGUUUGGUUGGCUCCUUGCUCACGUGCAACGAACUAUCAAGCCUCGAUCCUCUUCAUUUGAAAGCCCCGAUGYCUUGUGCACUUCGGGGAACGGAUGGUUCCUGUGUUGAUUACCCACUAUGGAGGAAAUCAAUUGUUCGUUUGAUCUUUAUUCNNNNNNNNNNNNNNNNNAGAAAAAGGGUGGACCAAGUAGUUUUGCCUGUGUUCCAAGCAUGCUGAAAUCGGUUGCUAUGGCCCAUGGGCAAAUACUUGUGCUCUCGGGUGCAGAAAGUCAUGAGGGCGGACGAGACACUCUUGUCCAUUUGCCCAAUUGUUCCUUGAAAUGAACGAUGUCCGUUCUCGUGUUGAUUUGGUCAUUACCUUUGGGAAUGAUGCGGUCAAUCGAGU
RNAcentral lists this unclassified non-coding RNA (888 nucleotides) under Phyllanthus littoralis. RNAcentral's name for it is "partial external transcribed spacer". Lineage: Eukaryota; Viridiplantae; Streptophyta; Magnoliopsida; Malpighiales; Phyllanthaceae. The record is from RNAcentral.